Molecule: ribosomal RNA, 327 nt
Filed under: uncultured eukaryote
Lineage: Eukaryota
Description: partial 18S ribosomal RNA
Rfam family: Eukaryotic small subunit ribosomal RNA
Source: RNAcentral
CCCUUAGAUGUUCUGGGCCGCACACGCGCUACACUGAAGGAGGCAGCGUGUGCUCCUGGAUCGAAAGAUUUGGGUAACCCGCGAAUCUCCUUCGUGCUGGGGAUUGAGGUUUGCAAUUAUCCUUCAUGAACGAGGAAUUCCCAGUAAGUGCAAGUCAUAAGCUUGCGCUGACUACGUCCCUGCCCUUUGUACACACCGCCCGUCGCUACUACCGAUUGAAUGAUUUAGUGAGGACUUCGGACUGGGACCGAUGCGGCUUUCGGGCUGCGUCGGUAUUCUGGAAAGAUGUCCAAACUGUAUCAUUUAGAGGAAGUAAAAGUCGUAACA